CACCGGCGGCUCGAGUGGUGGCCACUUUUAUUGGGUCUAAAGCGUCCGUAGCCGGCUUGGCAAGUCCCCUGGGAAAUCUGGCGGCUUAACCGUCAGGCGUCCAGAGGAUACUGCCAGGCUUGGGACCGGGAGAGGUGAGAGGUACCUCAGGGGUAGGGGUGAAAUCUUGUGAUCCCUGAGGGACCACCAGUGGCGAAGGCGUCUCACUAGAACGGGUCCGACGGUCAGGGACGAAAGCUGGGGGAGCGAACCGG
RNAcentral lists this ribosomal RNA (254 nucleotides) under uncultured microorganism. RNAcentral's name for it is "partial 16S ribosomal RNA". It matches the Rfam family "Archaeal small subunit ribosomal RNA", at positions 474 to 727 of the family's 1478-position model. The record is from RNAcentral.